RNAcentral lists this long non-coding RNA (335 nucleotides) under Physcomitrium patens. Its description in RNAcentral is "long non-coding RNA (PPAT_LNC002665)". Lineage: Eukaryota; Viridiplantae; Streptophyta; Bryopsida; Funariales; Funariaceae. The record is from RNAcentral.
ACUUAUGCAUUCUUAAACUCCUUCUAAGGCAGUGGAGACCAACAAAUAUCCAACCGGAUUGGCUCCAUAUUGAUUAAAAUCACAAUUUUUAAUGGCACUAAUUUUGUCCAAGCCUUCAUAUUCUUUUGUUUGUCUUUCUUAUCUAUGUCUCUCUUUGCAUUCUUAAUCGCCAUGAUACAUACUUUAUAAAGCUCUAAUUCUUAAUGCUACUCUCUAAUAUUCUCAAAAAAAUAAAAAAUUACAAAAUAAAAAACAAUAGAAUACAAAACUACAGAAUGAGCUUAAAUUGGUGCCCCACUCCUAAUCUUUUAUCCAGUGGUGAUAACAACAACAUG